CCCUUAGAUGUCCUGGGACGCACGCGUGCUACACUGAUGAAUUCAACGAGUUUCUCACCUUGGCCGAAAGGUCUGGGUAAUCUUUUGAAAUUUCAUCGUGAUGGGGAUAGAUCCUUGCAAUUUUUGAUCUUCAACGAGGAAUUCCUAGUAAGCGCAGGUCAUCAUCCUGCGUUGAUUACGUCCCUGCCCUUUGUACACACCGCCCGUCGCUCCUACCGAUUGAGUGGUCCGGUGAGGCUUUGGGAUCUGAGCGGAAAGAGCGUUUCGCUGUUUCUGCUCGGAAAACUCAGUCGAACCUUAUCAUUUAGAGGAAGGAGAAGUCGUAACA
Molecule: ribosomal RNA, 328 nt
Filed under: uncultured eukaryote
Lineage: Eukaryota
Description: partial 18S ribosomal RNA
Rfam family: Eukaryotic small subunit ribosomal RNA
Source: RNAcentral